GAAUAAAAGCGAAACAGAUAUAUUAAUGAAAGAAAAAGAGGACCACAUAGAAGCUCUUGAACAGCGUAUGCAUGCUUGCCAGCGCAAUUUACAGAGCAUGGAACAAAAUCAAAGACAACAAGCACAGAAAGUAUCAACUUUCGGAAAAGAUAACAAUGUUAUUGUUGACGAGAUACGUUUACUCAAAGAACGAGUUGAACGGCUUGAAAGAAAAACAGACCAAACACCGACGAAUGAACUCCUUCUUCCAACAGACGAAAUUCU
This is a long non-coding RNA of Dreissena polymorpha, 264 nucleotides long. RefSeq lists it as uncharacterized. The record is from RefSeq and is a predicted model, not a curated record. The transcript is spliced from 3 exons. NCBI's taxonomy places the organism in Eukaryota, Metazoa, Mollusca, Bivalvia, Myida, Dreissenidae.